Molecule: ribosomal RNA, 606 nt
Filed under: Salmonella enterica subsp. enterica serovar Paratyphi B var. L(+) tartrate +
Lineage: Bacteria; Pseudomonadati; Pseudomonadota; Gammaproteobacteria; Enterobacterales; Enterobacteriaceae
Description: partial 23S ribosomal RNA
Rfam family: Bacterial large subunit ribosomal RNA
Source: RNAcentral
UAGGGGAGCCGUAGGGAAACCGAGUCUUAACCGGGCGUUAAGUUGCAGGGUAUAGACCCGAAACCCGGUGAUCUAGCCAUGGGCAGGUUGAAGGUUGGGUAACACUAACUGGAGGACCGAACCGACUAAUGUUGAAAAAUUAGCGGAUGACCUGUGGCUGGGGGUGAAAGGCCAAUCAAACCGGGAGAUAGCUGGUUCUCCCCGAAAGCUAUUUAGGUAGCGCCUCGUGAAUUCAUCUCCGGGGGUAGAGCACUGUUUCGGCUAGGGGGCCAUCCCGGCUUACCAACCCGAUGCAAACUGCGAAUACCGGAGAAUGUUAUCACGGGAGACACACGGCGGGUGCUAACGUCCGUCGUGAAGAGGGAAACAACCCAGACCGCCAGCUAAGGUCCCAAAGUCAUGGUUAAGUGGGAAACGAUGUGGGAAGGCCCAGACAGCCAGGAUGUUGGCUUAGAAGCAGCCAUCAUUUAAAGAAAGCGUAAUAGCUCACUGGUCGAGUCGGCCUGCGCGGAAGAUGUAACGGGGCUAAACCAUGCACCGAAGCUGCGGCAGCGAACGUAUCACUUAAAGCGAUUCAGCGGGUUACGAUUGACGGAGCGAAGCGAC